GAUGAACGCUGGCGGCGUGCCUAAUACAUGCAAGUCGAGCGAACGGACGAGAAGCUUGCUUCUCUGAUGUUAGCGGCGGACGGGUGAGUAACACGUGGAUAACCUACCUAUAAGACUGGGAUAACUUCGGGAAACCGUAGCUAAUACCGGAUAAUAUUUUGAACCGCAUGGUUCAAAAGUGAAAGACGGUCUUGCUGUUACUUAUAGAUGGAUCCGCGCUGCAUUAGCUAGUUGGUAAGGUAACGGCUUACCAAGGCAACGAUGCAUAGCCGACCUGAGAGGGUGAUCGGCCACACUGGAACUGAGACACGGUCCAGACUCCUACGGGAGGCAGCAGUAGGGAAUCUUCCGCAAAGGGCGAAAGCCUGACGGAGCAACGCCGCGUGAGUGAUGAAGGUCUUCGGAUCGUAAAACUCUGUUAUUAGGGAAGAACAUAUGUGUAAGUAACUGUGCACAUCUUGACGGUACCUAAUCAGAAAGCCACGGCUAACUACGUG
Molecule: ribosomal RNA, 497 nt
Filed under: uncultured bacterium
Lineage: Bacteria
Description: partial 16S ribosomal RNA
Rfam family: Bacterial small subunit ribosomal RNA
Source: RNAcentral